GUGGGGAAUUUUGGACAAUGGGCGAAAGCCUGAUCCAGCAAUGCCGCGUGCAGGAUGAAGGCCCUCGGGUUGUAAACUGCUUUUGUACGGAACGAAAAGCCUGGGGCUAAUAUCCCCGGGUCAUGACGGUACCGUAAGAAUAAGCACCGGCUAACUACGUGCCAGCAGCCGCGGUAAUACGUAGGGUGCAAGCGUUAAUCGGAAUUACUGGGCGUAAAGCGUGCGCAGGCGGUGAUGUAAGACAGAUGUGAAAUCCCCGGGCUCAACCUGGGAACUGCAUUUGUGACUGCACUGCUGGAGUGCGGCAGAGGGGGAUGGAAUUCCGCGUGUAGCAGUGAAAUGCGUAGAUAUGCGGAGGAACACCGAUGGCGAAGGCAAUCCCCUGGGCCUGCACUGACGCUCAUGCACGAAAGCGUGGGGAGCAAACAGGAUUAGAAACCCGUGUAGUCC
Molecule: ribosomal RNA, 450 nt
Filed under: uncultured bacterium
Lineage: Bacteria
Description: partial 16S ribosomal RNA
Rfam family: Bacterial small subunit ribosomal RNA
Source: RNAcentral